AAUUUAUAUAGUUUAACUAAAACUUUACAUUUUCAUUGUAAAAAUAAAAUAUAUUUAAUUUUUAUAAAUA
This 70-nucleotide transfer RNA is filed under the name Laelia suffusa. RNAcentral's name for it is "tRNA-Glu". Lineage: Eukaryota; Metazoa; Arthropoda; Insecta; Lepidoptera; Erebidae. RNAcentral also lists the same sequence under 1 other name. The record is from RNAcentral.